This 272-nucleotide long non-coding RNA is filed under the name Oryza brachyantha (malo sina). RNAcentral's name for it is "long non-coding RNA (OBRA_LNC002500)". Lineage: Eukaryota; Viridiplantae; Streptophyta; Magnoliopsida; Poales; Poaceae. The record is from RNAcentral.
UAAAUUAUAUAUUCAUCAUUUUAUAAAUUUAGACAAUUAUAUAAAGUUUUAUUAUACGAAACGGGGAGAUAGUAUUAUUUAAGUGUUAGCGUACAUAGAUGCAAAGCAAGGUUGUGGUGGCUAUCAACCCUAUCACCAACACAGUAAUGGCUAUGCGGUUAGUUGGUGGAGUCGUGGAGAGAAGAAACUGUGAUCGAAUAACGAGAUAGAAAAGUCAGGACCAAAACCAAAGUGACCCACAAACCAGUCACUGGUCUAUCAAUCACUGUCGG